GACGAACGCUGGCGGCGUGCCUAAUACAUGCAAGUAGAACGCUGAAGAGAGGAGCUUGCUCUUCUUGGAUGAGUUGCGAACGGGUGAGUAACGCGUAGGUAACCUGCCUUGUAGCGGGGGAUAACUAUUGGAAACGAUAGCUAAUACCGCAUAACAAUGGAUGACACAUGUCAUUUAUUUGAAAGGGGCAAUUGCUCCACUACAAGAUGGACCUGCGUUGUAUUAGCUAGUAGGUGAGGUAACGGCUCACCUAGGCGACGAUACAUAGCCGACCUGAGAGGGUGAUCGGCCACACUGGGACUGAGACACGGCCCAGACUCCUACGGGAGGCAGCAGUAGGGAAUCUUCGGCAAUGGGGGCAACCCUGACCGAGCAACGCCGCGUGAGUGAAGAAGGUUUUCGGAUCGUAAAGCUCUGUUGUAAGUCAAGAACGAGUGUGAGAGUGGAAAAUUCACACUGUGACGGUAGCUUACCAGAAAGGGACGGCUAACUACGUGCCAGCAGCCGCGGUAAUACGUAGGUCCCGAGCGUUGUCCGGAUUUAUUGGGCGUAAAGCGAGCGCAGGCGGUUUGAUAAGUCUGAAGUUAAAGGCUGUGGCUCAACCAUAGUUCGCUUUGGAAACUGUCAAACUUGAGUGCAGGAGGGGAGAGUGGAAUUCCAUGUGUAGCGGUGAAAUGCGUAGAUAUAUGGAGGAACACCGGUGGCGAAAGCGGCUCUCUGGUCUGUAACUGACGCUGAGGCUCGAAAGCGUGGGGAGCGAACAGGAUUAGAUACCCUGGUAGUCCACGCCGUAAACGAUGAGUGCUAGGUGUUGGAUCCUUUCCGGGAUUCAGUGCCGCAGCUAACGCAUUAAGCACUCCGCCUGGGGAGUACGACCGCAAGGUUGAAACUCAAAGGAAUUGACGGGGGCCCGCACAAGCGGUGGAGCAUGUGGUUUAAUUCGAAGCAACGCGAAGAACCUUACCAGGUCUUGACAUCCCGAUGCUAUUUCUAGAGAUAGAAAGUUACUUCGGUACAUCGGUGACAGGUGGUGCAUGGUUGUCGUCAGCUCGUGUCGUGAGAUGUUGGGUUAAGUCCCGCAACGAGCGCAACCCCUAUUGUUAGUUGCCAUCAUUCAGUUGGGCACUCUAGCGAGACUGCCGGUAAUAAACCGGAGGAAGGUGGGGAUGACGUCAAAUCAUCAUGCCCCUUAUGACCUGGGCUACACACGUGCUACAAUGGUUGGUACAACGAGUUGCGAGUCGGUGACGGCAAGCUAAUCUCUUAAAGCCAAUCUCAGUUCGGAUUGUAGGCUGCAACUCGCCUACAUGAAGUCGGAAUCGCUAGUAAUCGCGGAUCAGCACGCCGCGGUGAAUACGUUCCCGGGCCU
This 1369-nucleotide ribosomal RNA is filed under the name uncultured bacterium. Its description in RNAcentral is "bacterial SSU rRNA". It matches the Rfam family "Bacterial small subunit ribosomal RNA", at positions 28 to 1381 of the family's 1533-position model. The record is from RNAcentral.